UUCUGCUAUGUUGCUGCUCAU
This 21-nucleotide microRNA is filed under the name Arabidopsis thaliana (thale cress). RNAcentral describes it as "ath-miR779.1". Its record names the gene ath-miR779.1. The record is from miRBase by way of RNAcentral. Lineage: Eukaryota; Viridiplantae; Streptophyta; Magnoliopsida; Brassicales; Brassicaceae.